This 292-nucleotide unclassified non-coding RNA is filed under the name plant metagenome. RNAcentral's name for it is "partial contains small subunit ribosomal RNA, internal transcribed spacer 1, and 5.8S ribosomal RNA". The record is from RNAcentral.
UUUCCGUAGGUGAACCUGCGGAAGGAUCAUUAUUGAAUAAACCUGAUGUGGUUGUAGCUGGCCCUUUCGGGAGCAUGUGCACACCCGUCGUCUUUAUCUUUCCACCUGUGCACCUUUUGUAGACCUGGAUGUAACACUUUCCGAGGCAACUCGGUCGGGAGGAAUGCUGUCAGCUUUCCUUGAAUGUCCAGGCCUAUGUUUCCAUAUACCCCAAAGAAUGUAACAGAAUGUAUUAUCGGGCCUUGUGCCUAUAAACUAUAUACAACUUUCAGCAACGGAUCUCUUGGCUCUC